Molecule: ribosomal RNA, 295 nt
Filed under: uncultured bacterium
Lineage: Bacteria
Description: partial 16S ribosomal RNA
Source: RNAcentral
GGACUACCGGGGUUUCUAAUCCUUUUUGCUCCCCACGCUUUCGUGCCUCAACGUCAGUGACAGAAUAGUUAACUGCCUUCGCCGUUAUUGAUGUUCUUCCAUAUAUCUACACAUUUUACCGCUCCACAUGGAGUUCCGUUAACCUCUCCUGUACUCAAGCAAAACAGUAUUAUCAGUUUCCACGAGGUUGAGCCUCGAUUUCCCGCCAAUAACUUAUCAUGCCGCCUACGCACCCUUUACGCCCAAUAAUUCCGGAUAACGUUCGCCACCUACGUCUUACCGCGGCUGCUGGCAC